GUAGCUCACAAAGGAAAAAGGUUGGAGACGUCAUUCUGGAAGAUUCAGCCACGCUUCCUCGAAAGUGAUGGAAGGAGGAAUUUGCCUAAAAUCUCACUAUGACUUAAUUUAUUCUUUCCUUUACAUGGAUCAAUCAUCCUGUGCUAUUGGCAGAAAAAAGUGUCGUAUGACUGACCUGAAAGCAGAUGGAGCAGACGUCGUCGUGCUGCUGCAGCUGCUGCUCUGAGGCUGCAGGAAGAGAGCUGAUCUUCUUGGCUGCUGCUCGCCUGAGCAGGAAGCUCCUCCAUCCAGUCUGAGCUCUCAGCCACACGUUGAAGUACGAGUGGAUGAUGAUGACGGACGCUCCCAUCCAGCUCCACUCCCCAAACAGAGACUCCCAGGUGCCGUAAGCCACCACACAGAGCGCCACCAGGAACUCCAGCACCCGGCUGACGGCGUGAACCCAGUAGAUCACCUCAUCCAGACUCUCGAUUGGGUCGCUGCGGAACAGCUCCACCAUGAAGAGCAGAUAGAUCAGCAUGGUUCCUGUCACCUGGAGAGAUGACAAAGUCACCAGGAUAAAUGAGAAAAUUCCUUGGAAUAAAUUAGGGAUCGUGAGAUCAA
This is a long non-coding RNA of Oryzias melastigma (Indian medaka), 603 nucleotides long. RefSeq lists it as uncharacterized. The transcript has 2 exons. The record is from RefSeq and is a predicted model, not a curated record. NCBI's taxonomy places the organism in Eukaryota, Metazoa, Chordata, Actinopteri, Beloniformes, Adrianichthyidae.